CACUUGAAAAUCAUCUUCCCCAAUAGGUUAUAUUGAUUUGUCAAAAAGAAGAGUUUCUCCAGAGGAGGCAAUCAAAUGUGAAGACAAAUUCACAAAAUCAAAGACUGUUUACAGCAUCCUUCGCCACGUUGCUGAAGUCUUGGAGUACACUAAGGAUGAGCAGCUUGAGAGCCUGUUCCAGAGAACUGCCUGGGUGUUUGAUGACAAGUACAAAAGACCUGGAUAUGGUGCUUAUGAUGCAUUCAAGCAUGCAGUCUCGUAAGGACAACUUCUGUGCUUCUAGGGGCUUGUUUCAAAUUGCAGAGUAUUCCCCAAAGUAGAUCUGUCACCACAUUCUUUUGGGUUGUAUCGUUCUGGGAUUCUUGCCCAGAAUAAGUGUGGAGAAUAUACUGGUCAAGUAAAUCUAGUAAAUUUUGGCAUCAGUCUCACAGAGGAAGAACCACUGGUCUUCAUUUGUCUGUCAGAAUUUGCCUGGUUUUAGUCCCAGGCAGAUUUUGUCAGAAGUAUCGAGCUCUAUGUCUGAAGAUGUUUCUACUCAGAGCUGAUCGUCACUCUUCCACUGCACAAGCAGCUUUUUUCUUUUUUUAAAUGCAGCAAGCUGACUUGUCACUUCUCUCAACUUCCAAACUUAAAGAAUGGGAUCAUAAACUUAGAAAUGGAAUUAUGAACAGAAAGAUGUGGAAAUGGUGAUGCUAAUGAAGCAUGCACUGGGAUAGAGUGCUUUUAUUAUUUUAAUUGAGUCUGAUAUUUUAAUCUGCUUUCAGAAUUAAAGUAUUUGGUUUCCCUCUA
This is a non-coding RNA of Cyanistes caeruleus (blue tit), 789 nucleotides long. The record is from RefSeq and is a predicted model, not a curated record. NCBI's taxonomy places the organism in Eukaryota, Metazoa, Chordata, Aves, Passeriformes, Paridae.